AUAGAGACUCAGAGCUGCAUAUCAAUAAGCGGAGGAAAAGAAACUAACAAGGAUUCCCUUAGUAACGGCGAGUGAAGCGGGAAGAGCUCAAAUUUGAAAUCUUCAAGGUUUUACCUUGACGAAUUGUAGUUUAAGAAGUGUUUUCUGUUGAGAUUUGAGUAGCAAAGUUCUUUGGAAAGGGACAUCAUAGAGGGUGAGAAUCCCGUAUUUGACCAUUAUCUCCAGCUUUGUGAUACACUUUCAAAGAGUCGGAUUGUUUGGGAAUGCAGUCCAAAAUGGGUGGUAAAUUUCAUCUAAAGCUAAAUAUUGGCGAGAGACCGAUAGCGAACAAGUACCGUGAGGGAAAGAUGAAAAGAACUUUGAAAAGAGAGUUAAACAGUACGUGAAAUUGUCAAAAGGGAAGCGUUUGACACCAGUGUUGUUUUCUCGAAAAUCAAUUAAAAAGGCCGGAUUUUGUGUUGUAUUGACUUUAUCAGCUUUCUGCACUUUUUUCUUGUCUUUCUUAAUGCACUUUUCGUUUAACAAGUCAACAUCAAUUUCUUUUGUUGUAAAAGGGUCAUUGGAAGGUGGCUUUCUUUUCGGAGAAAGUGUUUAUAGCCUUUGGCCUCUGCAAUCGGAGAGAUUGAGGUCUGCAGCGUAGAUCCUUCGGGGUUAGAUACAUUUGUGCUAAGUUAUAGCCUUUCAUAGACAACUUGUUGACUAUGAUCAGUCAUGUAGCUUACUCGCUUAUGCUAUUUUACCUACGCUUAGGAUGUUGACGAUCAGCUGAGCGCG
RNAcentral lists this ribosomal RNA (774 nucleotides) under uncultured Neocallimastigales. Its description in RNAcentral is "partial large subunit ribosomal RNA". It matches the Rfam family "Eukaryotic large subunit ribosomal RNA", at positions 23 to 627 of the family's 3401-position model. Lineage: Eukaryota; Fungi; Neocallimastigomycota; Neocallimastigomycetes; Neocallimastigales. The record is from RNAcentral.